UGCCAGCCGCCGCGGUACUACGGAGGGUGCAAGCGUUAAUCGGAAUUACUGGGCGUAAAGCGCGCGUAGGUGGAUUGGUCAGUCAGAUGUGAAAGCCCCGGGCUUAACCUGGGAACUGCAUUCGAUACUGCCUAGCUAGAGUAUGGUAGAGGGAAGUGGAAUUCCGGGUGUAGCGGUGAAAUGCGUAGAUAUCCGGAGGAACACCAGUGGCGAAGGCGACUUCCUGGACCAAUACUGACGCUGAGGUGCGAAAGCGUGGGGAGCAAACAGGAUUAGAUA
This 279-nucleotide ribosomal RNA is filed under the name uncultured bacterium. RNAcentral's name for it is "partial 16S ribosomal RNA". It matches the Rfam family "Bacterial small subunit ribosomal RNA", at positions 506 to 784 of the family's 1533-position model. The record is from RNAcentral.